Molecule: long non-coding RNA, 513 nt
Organism: Vitis vinifera (wine grape)
Lineage: Eukaryota; Viridiplantae; Streptophyta; Magnoliopsida; Vitales; Vitaceae
Exons: 3
Source: RefSeq, a predicted model, not a curated record
AAAUCCUAAGCACAUUCUACCAACAACAACCAUCGCAACACCAACAAUGGUUCCCCAUAGCAAAGCCUUAGUUUUCAUCCUCCUCUUACUCUUUGUUAGCUCAUUUUCAGGCUGUGCAGAUGGCUUCAAGGAUGGAGCAAAGCUUCCAUAUCCAAAUAGCUCGGAGAAUAUCCAAAUGAUGGCGCGAAAGCUUAUAGGAGUUGAAGCCCUGUUGGACUAUGAAAAACCUGGAUCUAAUCCCUCACACACCCCAACUCCAGAUAAUGGUGGGAAAGACACCGGGGGAAAAACCCGCAAAGGAAGCAGUGUCAACAACUGAGUAACUCUACCUCAUGUUACAGUUUGGUGAGUGCUUUGCUAAAAUAAACGUCACUCUGACAGAAGGGUGACAUUGUAAAACAUCUAUUGGAAAAAUGAAGAAAAAGGACCAUGCCCAUACUAUAUGUAUUUCUACCGAAGAAAAGCAAUAAUAAGAAACUCAUCUCAGGCUCAAACCUGGCCUUAAAUCAUAAA